CCGUUGCCGGCGACCGGCGCACGGGUGAGUAACACGUACGCAACCUGCCCGUGGCAGGGGGAUAAGCGGGGGAAACCCCGUCUAAUACCGCGUAACGCGGCCUUGGGGCAUCCCAAGGCCGCCAAAGGGAGCAAUCCCGGCCACGGAUGGGCAUGCGGCGCAUUAGCUAGUCGGCGGGGUAACGGCCCACCGAGGCGACGAUGCGUAGGGGUUCUGAGAGGAAGGCCCCCCACACUGGUACUGAGACACGGACCAGACUCCUACGGAAGGCAGCAG
RNAcentral lists this ribosomal RNA (276 nucleotides) under uncultured bacterium. Its description in RNAcentral is "partial 16S ribosomal RNA". It matches the Rfam family "Bacterial small subunit ribosomal RNA", at positions 82 to 354 of the family's 1533-position model. The record is from RNAcentral.